AUUGAACGCUGGCGGAAUGCUUUACACAUGCAAGUCGAACGGCAGCACGGACUUCGGUCUGGUGGCGAGUGGCGAACGGGUGAGUAAUGUAUCGGAACGUGCCCAGUCGUGGGGGAUAACGUAGUGAAAAUUACGCUAAUACCGCAUACGAUCUAUGGAUGAAAGCGGGGGAUCGCAAGACCUCGCGCGAUUGGAGCGGCCGAUAUCAGAUGAGGUAGUUGGUGGGGUAAAGGCCCACCAAGCAAACGAUCUGUAGCUGGUAUGAGAGGACGACCGGCCACACUGGAACUGAGAAACGGUCCAGACUCCUACGGGAGGCAGCAGGGGGGAAUUUUGGACAAUGGGCGAAAGCCUGAUCCAGCCAUUCCGCGUGCAGGAUGAAGGCCCUCGGGUUGUAAACUGCUUUUGUACAGAACGAAAAGGUUUCUACUAAUACUAGGAGCUCAUGACGGUACUGUAAGAAUAAGCACCGGCUAACUACGUGCCAGCCGCCGCGGUAA
RNAcentral lists this ribosomal RNA (500 nucleotides) under uncultured bacterium. RNAcentral describes it as "partial 16S ribosomal RNA". It matches the Rfam family "Bacterial small subunit ribosomal RNA", at positions 30 to 523 of the family's 1533-position model. The record is from RNAcentral.